This 731-nucleotide ribosomal RNA is filed under the name Parmotrema gardneri. RNAcentral describes it as "partial 28S ribosomal RNA". It matches the Rfam family "Bacterial small subunit ribosomal RNA", at positions 404 to 1161 of the family's 1533-position model. The record is from RNAcentral. Lineage: Eukaryota; Fungi; Ascomycota; Lecanoromycetes; Lecanorales; Parmeliaceae.
AGGAAUGUAUAGCGAUAGCUACUUGUAUCAUGAUGCAAGCUCGACUAUGUUGAAUUUCUAGGUAGAAUUAUGAUAAUGACAUUGUCUGCCUAUGUGUCUUGACCAAAUUACGUGCCAGCAGUCGCGGUAAUACGUAGAAGACUAGUGUUAUUCAUGUUUAAUCGGUUUAAAGGGUACCUAGACGGUGAAUCAAGCUUUUAAAUAAAUAAGAAAAGGGACUAAUUCGCUAGAGUUACUUACGAGGGGGUUUUAAAGUACUGCUGGUGUAGAGAUGAAAUUCUGUCAUACCUCUUUUCGAAAGAAGAAUAACGGCACAGGUAUAGGCGAAGGCAUCCCCUUAUGUGAUAACUGACGUUGAGGGACGAAGGCUUCGUGGAACAAACAGGAUUAGGUACCCUAGUAGUUGAAGCAGAAAAUGAUGAAUGUCAUAGAUUAGACGUCUAAGUUUAUUCUAUAAAUGAAAGUGUAAGCAUUCCACCUCAGGAGUAAUUUGGCAACAUUGGAAUUGAAAUCAUUAGACCGUUUCUGAAACCAGUAGUGAAGUAUGUUGUUUAAUUUGAUGAUCCGCAAAAAACCUUACCACAAUUUGAAUAUUUAUACCAAACAUAUAUCUACAAGCGUUGCACGGCUGUCUUCAGUUAAUGUCGUGAGACUGGUUAGUUCCAUUAAAUUAACGUAAACCCUUACUUUAUUUUUUAUAUAGAGUAGUUCCCCGCUAGAUUGGAUAUGAU